Molecule: ribosomal RNA, 176 nt
Filed under: uncultured bacterium
Lineage: Bacteria
Description: partial 16S ribosomal RNA
Rfam family: Bacterial small subunit ribosomal RNA
Source: RNAcentral
ACUCCUACGGGAGGCAGCAGCCGCGGUAAUAUUGGGCAAUGGGGGGAACCCUGACCCAGCGACGCCGCGUGGGUGAAGAAAUCCUUCGGGAUGUAAAGCCCUGUUGUAUGGGAAGAGCAGAAGACGGUACCAUACGAGGAAGCCCCGGCAAACUACGUGCCAGCAGCCGCGGUAAU